Molecule: ribosomal RNA, 459 nt
Filed under: uncultured bacterium
Lineage: Bacteria
Description: partial 16S ribosomal RNA
Rfam family: Bacterial small subunit ribosomal RNA
Source: RNAcentral
CCUACGGGAGGCUGCAGUGAGGAAUAUUGGUCAAUGGCCGGAAGGCUGAACCAGCCAAGCCGCGUGAAGGACGAAGGUGCCAAGCAUUGUAAACUUCUUUUGUCAAGGGAUAAACUCAGGCUCGAGAGCCUGACCGAGGGUACUUGAAGAAAAAGCAUCGGCUAACUCCGUGCCAGCAGCCGCGGUAAUACGGAGGAUGCGAGCGUUAUCCGGAUUUAUGGGGUUUAAGGGGUGCGUAGGCGGGCUGUUAAGUCAGCGGUAAAAGCCUGGGGCUCAACCGAGACGAGCAGUUGAAACUGGCUUUCUUGAGAUGUGGAGAGGUAUGCGGAAUGCGUAGUGUAGCGGUGAAAUGCUUAGAUAUUGCGCAGAACUCCGAUUGCGAAGGCAGCAUACCGGCCGGGAACUGACGCUGAGGCACGAAAGCGUGGGUAUCGAACAGGAUUAGAUACCCGAGUAGUC